Mus musculus (house mouse) is the source of this 751-nucleotide long non-coding RNA. RefSeq annotates it as predicted gene, 31331. The transcript is spliced from 3 exons. NCBI's taxonomy places the organism in Eukaryota, Metazoa, Chordata, Mammalia, Rodentia, Muridae. The record is from RefSeq and is a predicted model, not a curated record.
AUGGAUGGCGAUUUUUCUUUUGCUCUAAUCAAUUGAGACAUUAAUUCACUCAAUUUCCUGACGAGAAAGAAUCCAGGGAGGGGCCAAAGGGAGAAUCCUCUGGAUAAUGCAGCUUAUCAUCAGAAUGCCUGGUGUUCUCCACAAUCUGGCCUUGAUUACAGAAUUCUCUUCCUGUGACUAGGUGAAGAUUUUUGGAAUCUGUGGAUGAAAUCGCACAGUCAAUGCAAAGUGAAUCAGUGGUCUGAACAGCAGAAUUUAGGUUGAUAAUAUGUGGUGGAUGUAACUUGGUAAGUAGCAGUUUUCCGUCCAUUGAAACAGCUCAAGUCCCAGGGGAGCUCAUUAAGAUAGAAGACAAGCAACUCAAAAUAUCUUCAGGAAGUACCUGAAACUAACAAGAUUCACUAGGCCCCUUCCCUCUCAGAGUAAGCAGGAAAGACUGCUGAGAAAGAUUGUCAGACAAGACAAGUGCAAAGAAAACUCUUAAGAACAGAGCAGCAGCCUGGAAGAAGCUUAAAUGAGCCAAACAACCUGAGAGAAGCAGACACCAACAAAGCUGCCUGGAAUAGGGAUGGAUCAACUGAGCCACCUGGAAAGGCUACUCUCCAUCUCUUGAGCUGCCUGUAGGCAGAGUGCUUCAUGUUUCUUGCUUUUAUGAACUAUCGCACGUGCUGGGUUAAAACUCUGGCGAUGUAGCUGUCUUUGAGUAACUUCUGCUCUUGUAAGCAACCACAGUAAAAUUCAUGGUUCAUUA